GGGCGCUUAGCUCAGCUUGGUUAGAGCACCUGAUUUACAUUCAGGGGGUCGGGGGUUCGAGUCCCUCAGCGCCCA
RNAcentral lists this transfer RNA (75 nucleotides) under Gemmatimonadota bacterium. Its description in RNAcentral is "tRNA-Val". It matches the Rfam family "tRNA". Rfam says of the family: Transfer RNA (tRNA) molecules are approximately 80 nucleotides in length. Their secondary structure includes four short double-helical elements and three loops (D, anti-codon, and T loops). RNAcentral also lists the same sequence under 1 other name. The record is from RNAcentral. Lineage: Bacteria; Pseudomonadati; Gemmatimonadota.